GAUGAACGCUAGCGGCAGGCCUAACACAUGCAAGUCGAGGGGUAACGUGAGUGCUUGCACUUGACGACGACCGGCGCACGGGUGCGGAACGCGUAUGGAACCUACCUUUAUCAGGGAGAUAGCCCAUGGAAACGUGGAUUAAUAUCCCAUAGUAUUAUUUUAUCGCCUGAUAGAAUAAUUAAAGAAUUUCGGAUAGAGAUGGCCAUGCGUAUCAUUAGCUAGUAGGCGAGGUAACGGCUCACCUAGGCGACGAUGAUUAGGGGUCCUGAGAGGGAGAUCCCCCACACUGGUACUGAGACACGGACCAGACUCCUACGGGAGGCAGCAGUGAGGAAUAUUGGGCAAUGGAGGCAACUCUGACCCAGCCAUGCCGCGUGUAGGAAGACGGCCCUACGGGUUGUAAACUGCUUUUAUACAGGAAGAACACCACCCACGUGUGGGUGACUGACGGUACUGUAAGAAUAAGGACCGGCUAACUCCGUG
RNAcentral lists this ribosomal RNA (483 nucleotides) under uncultured bacterium. RNAcentral's name for it is "bacterial SSU rRNA". It matches the Rfam family "Bacterial small subunit ribosomal RNA", at positions 28 to 507 of the family's 1533-position model. The record is from RNAcentral.